AAAUUUUUAUGAAGGUAAAUGGAUGUGUAAAUGUGUACGUUUUAUUCUAUAUGUAAAGAUAUUCAAUGACACAGAGUUUUCCCUUCUUCAGUGACAUGUUUCACCAACCAACAUGACUGCUGGAGGCUCACAGUCUCCAGACAAAUUCUGAGAGAUUCCUCUAUUCUCCAUGGUGGAAAUUUGACUCUAGUACAUUAGCAUACUAAUCUAAACAGGAGUCAAUUCAGCAAGGAAGUUGCUGCUCUCGCAGCCGGAGAUGACAGCCUGCACUUGGGAUGAUGACACUCAGCACAAAAAAAUUACACAAAAUAAACACAUUUCCCCUCCAAAGAUUGUGUGACCUAUAAUAAUCUAUAGUUUAUAAGAUUGCUUGAGCACAACAGGGGUGUGUUUAAGGUAUCAAACACAGUAAUGCUAGCUGUACUUAUGCUUGGCAUAACUACAGUAAUUGAGGUUGCAAUCUGGAAUUGAAAAGUGCAGUGUUCACUUGAUUUUCAUACAUGAUAAGCUCAGGUUUUAUGGAUGUUGAGUUGUUUCUUUUCAUCUAUGUCAGCUUUUCGAUACUUCAUUGAAAGUAUAUGUACAAGUUACUCCAUUAUCACAGGGAUUCACGUGGUGCUGCUGCUGCAACAGCCUCCACUCUUAUGGUUUCAGACUUUCCACCAAAUGUUAGUACCUAGAUGCAGGGUAAAUUGGAUUAUUUUUAAGUGGGGUUGAAUAAAUACUCCUGUUUUCUGUGGGUUAAAAUAAGUGUUUCUAUCACCAGAGCUUUUAAAGAAAGCCAUAUGCUGGCUUCAGUUCAGGUGAAUGUUAUAGUCACUAUUUCUACUACCUUAUCUCACCUUCAGACGGGUACCUGCAGUCAUUAUUCUUACUAUGACUUACUUCAAAGUUACAAUGGUCCAUUUUCAGAAACAUUUGUCAAAACACAAAUUUUACCUUGGAGAACAGCUCCCGUUCUAGGAUUUUCUACAUUCACAGCAGCGCAUCAAUCAAAGUGUCGAUUAGCUACUAAAAGGUACUUUAAGGAACUGGCUUACAUUAAAUAGAAGCACUGUUUUGACAAUGAAUUAGAAAUGAAGAGAUACUAAAUAAAAUCCCUACUUUAGUUUAAUUUAAUCCAUUCGUUUUUUGUCAUUAUGCAGCCAAACCUUGUGGGGUUAUUAGACUCCAAAGAUAUGGCUGCAGUGGUCAGAAAUAUAUAUAUUUUGUUUAUUAAAAACUAAUUGUUCCUACAAAUAUUUUGGCUUCCUUCCCAGAUCUGGAAAAUAAUCUCCAGCGAAAAGGUUCCUUUCCUUAAGCACAACAACAUUAUUGUAAUACAGCAAAAGAACGGAAAGAAAAAGGACUUUUGAACUCAACAUAAAGAGAUGUAAUUUUAGUACAUCCCUAUACGAUUCACAGGAUUUUUGAUGGGUAAAGGCUAGUAUCAUUGCAUGCAUUGAUGCAGGUUUUAUUUGAAAUAGCGUCAUUUCAGACAUUAAACAGACAGUAAGUAGGUUCAAGAAGUCAAAGUGUCAGGGAUGCAGGGAAGGCAGGACUCAAAAAGGGACUUCAAUGGUCAAAAACUCAAAAAGCAAAUAGGCAGACGGAAGCCAGGAACAUUCAACAAUGACGUGACAAGUGACAAGAGACACACAUGGCUUAAAUACACAAGGGAGGUGCAGAUGAUUGGACACAGGUGGAAACAAUCAGACAAUCAUAGGGGAUGACAGGACAAGGCAGGAAGUGAAGUUAACCAGGGAGACAAGAGGCAGAAAACUACAAAAUGAACCCAAACCGUGACAUAAAGAAGUCAUACAGUUUCCACAGUAACAAGAACGAUUAGAGUAGACGCAAUUGUGUUAUGAUUUUCAAUUUAAUUGGAUGUUUGGAAGUAACAGGGUAUAAGAGCUGCCUGACCCCGCCCCCCCCAACCUAUCCAGGGCUUAUGCCUUUCUAUCACCCUCCCAUUCCCCAACCCCCUCACCAGCAACGACCCUCUUUAUUCUGGAGAGAAACGUUAACAGGCUCUUUAAAAGACAAAACCCUCGCAAAGCAGCCGGUCCGGACUCAGUCUCCCUGACACCCUGAAGCAUUGUGCCCACCAGGGGCCUUAUGUACAAAGACUUGCGUGGAUUUCUUACUGGCUCAUGGCAUACGAUCAAAUCCAAAUGCCCUCCCACGCACAAAAAUAUCCGGACGUAUCAAUGUGUGCGAACACGUGAGUCCAAGCAAAUUUCCUUUGUACAUCCCAAUCAACAGGGAAUUGAGCGCACAAAUAUGCAAAUAAUGAGCCCUGCACCUGCGAUCCCCUCUCUGCAUGAUCAUAAAAGGUAGAAAAAAGGAAUGAGUAACAUGGAUUACUUUCUGAAGUGGAGGCAAAAAUGUGCUGUUUGCCGCUUAUUCCUGAUGAUAACAUGCCAAGCGUAAGAGGAGCGUGUGGGCGAGCGUGUGCUUGGCUCCUCGCUGUGCUGCGCUCCAACGCCGGCCAUAGCUCUGCACGUAGUUCGAGGAGGAUUGUCCUCGGGAACCCAAAGCGGCUGAUAAGCCAGUUGUCCUCAUGUGCAAGCAAAUCCUCUGUCUCUAAAUAUGUGCUAUCUCCUUAUUGCACAAUUUGCAAUGUCUUCUAGUAGUUCUAAAGCAGCCAUUGUUUUAAUAGUAUGCAGGGCGUACGACAGCCCUGAAGUUGGCGUGAGGCACUGCACAUUUCCACGGUCAUUUUGCUCUUGAUACAUCUGAUCAUUGACGUGAAAUCUCCCUGGAGAUAUACCACCAGUACCAGCCUGCUUCAAGGCCUCCACCAUCAUCCCUGUUCCCAAGAAGCCCAGGAUCACAGAACUUAAUGACUACAGGCCCGUAGCCCUGACCUCCUGUAGUCAUGAAGUCUUUUGAACGGCUAGUCCUGUCCCACCUGAAAAGCCUCCUGGACCCCCUGCAGUUCGCCUACAGCGCAAAUAGGUCUGUAGACGAUUCUGUCAACAUGGCCCUCCAGCUUCUGGACUCCCCAGGAACCUACGGCAGGAUCUCUGCCUUCAACACCAUUAUCCCGUCUCUGCUGCCAGACAAACUCUCUCAGCUACACGUGCCCGACUCCACCUGCAAGUGGAUCACUGACUUCCUGUCCGACAGGAAGCAGCACAGGAAGCCUCUCCGUCAAGCUCCUGAAGUUUGCGGAUGACACCACCCUCAUUGGACUGAUCUCUGGUGGGGAAUGAGUCCGCCUGCAGGUGGGAGUUUGACCAUCUGGUGUCGUGGUGCAGCCAGAACAACCUGGAGCUCAACGCUCUAAAAACAGUGGAGAUAGUGGUGUAUUUCACGAAGAAAGCAGUCCCACCUUCCCCAUUCACCCUGUGUGACCCCGUAAUUGCUAUGAAUUCCUUCCGUUUCCUGCUCCAUCAUCACACCUGACCUCAAGUCAGCUCAACUAAAAGCAGCCGACCCCUAUUCCCCCCGGUCAAAAAUGGGUUGUGCCCCUUCCAUCUGGCAGGAGGCUGAGGUCCAUCAGAACAGUUUCUUCCCGUCGGCAGUCAGUCAACAGCGCCCGGGUCUGACUGACUCCGACAUCCCACCCGUCACUCCCUUCACGCUCCACAUGCACAUACACUUGUCACUUUCUGUUCCAUGGUGCACUUUAUUUUUUUUUAAACUUCUUUAACAUUUCCUUUUUAAUUUAAAUUACUAUUGCAAUGUUCUUGCACUAUGUUGUCUUAUCUGUCCAUUGUCUUGUCUGAUGUUAUGCACCAACCGCCAAGUCAAAUUCCUAGUAUGUCUAACAUAUUUCAGUGAUAAAUGUUCCUGAUUCCUUCAAAACCAGAGGUUCUUUAUCAUUUAUGCAUCAAUCCGUGCAGUGUACUUAUUCAAUCAUAACAUAUUUAGAGACUACAAAGUGUUACUACAAGUAAACACUGGAGAGUCCGUCAAGAAUACUAAAACAUAGACGUAAUAUGAUAUUCUGUGUUAAUGCUAACUCUUGAGUGUGGUAUCUCCAUCCAGCCAGAAAGACGCUCUCUAAUCUUAGCCUCUGUUUCAGUAAUGAGACAGCCAGAGAGUGGAUGUGGUGCAGCCGCAUCUGACGCAACACUGAGAUGGACAACAACUCUGAGCAGCUGAUCAGUUUCUGUUUAUAGGAAACGCAAUACAUGCGGCUUUCUGUCCAACCCAUUCUCAUUCCCAAGUUGUCACGAAACACUUGGUACGGGCCCUUUGGCGUCCUCAAUGCCGUCCAACCAGAACAUACUGUGUCUGUAUGAGAUGCACUUCCAAGUAAGUGUUAAAUUAGAUGGUCAGAUCAAAUGAUGCUUGGACGUAUUGGCAGAGAGAUUGGACAGGUUGAAUAGGCAGAAUUGUAACCCAGAAGGCCUCAUUUUAAAAUUGACUACUUUUCACUUUCUUUUGUCAAGUAGCCUACGCACUGAAUGUCUAAUCCAGUAACUGUAUUUCCUAAACCGGGGGGGCAACAGUGGGUGGGUGGGGAGCACGGUCGUCCUCCAAUCAGAGGGUUGUCGGUUCGAUCCCAGGCCAGGCUAUCCCGCAUGCUGUUGUGUCCUUGGGCAAGACACUUAACCCAACAUUGCUCCUGUAGCUGCGACUACAGUGUGUGAACCGUAGUUACUGAUGGCAGGUGUCACCGUGUAUGGUUCUCCUGUCAUCAGUGUAUGAAUGGGUGAAUAAUGUCAUGUAGUGUUAAAGCGCUUUGAGUGGUCAGAAGACUAGAAAAGCGCUAUACAAGUACAGGCCAUUUACCAUUUAAACCCAAUCUAAAUUGUUUUGUUGCAUAAAUUGUGGCAGACCAGGGUGAAAAGGUAAGCAGGUAAUGCCCAGGGUGUCAAUCCCCAAGUUCAGGUGGGGGGAGGUAUUACUACUAAUACAGGGUGUACUACCCAGUGCAGGGUCUGCAGCAAAUGAGCACAUGGCAUUGGUCAUUCCUGCUGACCAUCAACCAGAUUACAGAGAUUAUAUAUAUUGACAGGGCUGGGAAGAAGCAAGAAGAGGACUGACUGAACCGGAGAAGACGACAAAGAUCACCUAAAUGGCUCGAGGAGUGCGAGAUUAAACAGGAAGUAAUCUAGUCAAUUUACUUUUCUCUUUUGUUCUGUCCACACAAGACGAGUGAUCGCGCACCAAAGACCCGACUGAGAGGAACGUUUGUUAGAUUUGACCACAUUACCCGUACCUUUAAAUAAAGGACUUUUUAUUAAAUGAUUCAUGUCUCGGAGUCUCCUAUUUUAUUCUGGAAUCUUUCCUUGAUGUUCUCUGGAUUGUAAAACCUGAAACAACAAAUUAAACUCGUGAUGGAGGUUCAUUUGAAUUUGCAAUCAAAAUGCAAAAUGUUAUUAGCAAUGUACAAAUAAUUGACCAUGUAAAGCAAUCAUGCCCAUGGUUUAUAGUCAAGUCGAAACCUGACCAUGACUACAAAAUAACCCAAUAAGGAAACAGACACAACAGCACAUGAACGCACACAAGGAAACAGACACAACAGCACAUGAACGCACACAAAGCCUUUAACCACUCUUGCUCUGACGCCUUUAUGAUUUUGCCACAAAUCCCUCAUUGUGAGCAACCGCGGAUGAGUGGAGAACAUGGCCGUCCGCCAAUUAGAGGAUUAGCAAUCCCAAAUCGUGGACCUCCUAACCCGCUUGCGAUGUGUCUUUGGACAAGACACUUAACCCCAACACUGCUCCAGUAGCUGUGACAACUGUGUGUGAAUGCUAUGUACUGAUGGACAGGUGGCACUGUCUAUGGUAGCUCCUGUCAUCAGUGUGUGAAUAAUAACAUGAAGUGUUAAAGCUCUUUGAAUGUUGAGAAGACUAGAAAAGCGCUGUACAAGUACUGUCCAUUUACCAUUAUUCUGCAAUAAGAUCCAAAUUAAUCUUGUAGGACAAACACCCCCUUCUAUCCCAGAGGCUUCCCCAGCCAAUUCAUGACGUGUAUGUAACAGUCACUGCCCCUUUUUUUAGCUGUACUGCCCUACUUCCGUACUGAUAUGAUAUAAUUCAUGCGAUGAAAGGGACAGGGCAGCAGUGCCGGCCCUCCCCUGGAAAAGUAUCAUCAGUUAACACGUCAUGUGGACCUAAUUUAGGCUGCUGUGUCAGAAAGAACAGUUAGGCUUUAGCAUCCCUGCAGAGGUUAUUAAGUGGCACACUACAGAGCGUUGCACUGACGGCUCCCGGGUGACACAAAAAAUACUUUUGAUACAUCCCCUAAUGAAAGCCGUCUAUGCCUUCACUGUGAAAUGUGAAUACGUCCAGUGGACAGUCUCAUUAAUAUUUCAAAGGAACUGUGAAGCUAGACUGCACAGUGUGUCUGAGACACAGGCACAAACCUGGAGCCACAGUUCUAAUCAAAAACAACAUCCAUAUUGUCAUAGAGUUGAAAGACGACAUGUACAACACAAGAAGCCAGUUUACAAGCUCAUUUUAAAUCAAAUAAAAGUUGAAAUGAUUACUGCGGACUGGGGGAAAAGUGGUUCUCAGACAGGCCCACUCAAUGCAUUGCACGUGUCAAUCUGUCAGUGGCCUUCUUGAGAAAAUACCCAUACACUUAAAUUAUUUUGGAUGAUUACAAAGAAAUCGCAAAGAAAUGUUUUUUUCAAGUAACAUUUAGAUGCAUCAAUUAGCCUGGAUAGACACACGGGAUAAAAUAAUACUGCCUGUUUUUCUACAAUGUCAUCGGACAUUUAGAUUUUCCUGCAAUCUGCAAAAUAAUUUCGCCAUGAAUUUGUUUGUUGGGAGAGAAGGAGCAUCUUUUGGAACAAUGGCCGAUGUAUUUAAGAUAUUGAGCUGUUUUACAAGCUUUCGGCCCAGUGACUAAUAGGGGUUUUGGAAUAAAAGAGCCAUUGGAGCCAAUGUCAGCUUGCCUGCAACAGCGGUUCACUAACUAUCCCGGCAAUUAUAGAGACCACCUCCAGACAUUGGUUCUGAAUAUUUGGUUCUAGUGACAUCCAGUCACUAGAACCAAAUAUUUUGUAAUGCAACUUUACAUGAAUACGGCCCAUUUUUUAAUUAACUCUUAAGUAGUCUGUGCUAACACUAACACCACACGCUUCAUCCGUGUUUUUCCAUGGCUGCCACUUUCUCUUCACCUCAUGUAACCUAUACCUUUGCAGCACCAGCAUUUUAAUCCGGCUUCUCCCUGAGGAGGUCUUGGGCUUGACAGAUCACCGAGGUAACCUCCGUGUUCUUGAACCUGUCAGGUCAUCACUAAGGUUUACUGUAGCGGCAUAACAGUAUGUGCCCUCCGCCUCCUCGGUCACUGGCAGCAGCCCGGGACAAAACCAGGAGUGAUAAUGAUGUGAAAAAGUGCCCUGACCUUGGGAUUAUGGGGAUCAUUGCCCUCGUCUCCCAGGGCAACAGCUGGCGUAAAUCUCACUUCACAUCUUUGCUCAGCAAACUCCAGAUUCUGACAGAUGAUGGAACCUCAGUGGGCUCCGAAGCUGCCAUCGCGUUCUUUUCAACACACCACUGUACUCAUCUGUCCUUUAUGCAUUUCAAUCCGGAGACACUUGUUGAAAUUUUAACAGUGCUUUAUUAUAACAGGCAUAAAUAUUUAUAUUGCAAAGUUGUUUGGGGCUUGGACUCCAUCCUGCCAUAGGAUAGACCAGGGGCCGGGAUGCCGAGAUGAAAUGACAACUGACAGCAAAAGAGAGGAGAACAGUUUUUAACGUUUGCCUGCACCGUACUACCCGCCCCUAAUCAGCUGGCCGUGCGCCCCCAGGGAACGGCACAGCCUGUCCAGGCUUCCUGACUGAAUUUUCGCCUAAGCUUCAUUUAAUGGAGGAUGUUAACAAGAGAAGGUACUCCGCCCCCUCAUUGAUUUUGGACCUUUCUAAUGCAAAGUCAAAUAUGCACUUUUUGGAAGCACCCAACCAAUCAACUUUGUGGCAGAGUAGCAGGCUGUUGGCUGGACAACUUGAGCCUAAUAUAAUAGAGAAGGGAUAGACAUGGGACUGCGCCGGAUUUUAAAAAUGGGGUUUUACUAAAUGGAAUAUACUGAAUUGGAGGAGGAAAUUAUAUUUAUCCGCUCAUAUUCUGUAUAUUGUAUAUAUUGUGCAGUUUACAAAAUCCCCCAAAAAAUCCCAAUACUUAAUUGUGAACAAGAUGUCUUCUUUUUGGGUCCCCGGAGAAAAUUAAAUAAAUAAUUCCUGUCACCGAUACAUUUGAAUUCAGGACCUCUCUGACUGCAUACAUGUGAAAAAUAAUAUAAUAAACAUAUCAAUUUUCACAGUAAAGUAAAAUUCCCCAAAAGUGUAUUCAACUAAGCCCCAUGCGGUCUAGAGUUGAAUAGGUGAACAAAAUAUUUGAUGUGCUGAUAUAACCAAGCAACCAAAUACCUCCAAAUGACAAGUGUUUUUGCUCUGACUGUCGCUUAUUAUCUGGUCUCAUCUCGUAAAGUACUGUACUGUCGCAAAACAAACAAUUUUGAGGAAACGAUCAAUGAGAUCCAAUAUGGUGCAAUCCGAUGAAACAUCAUUCCUUGGUUGGUGUAAUACAACCGGGUGACCUUUGCAAAAAUGGGUGUCAUCGUGUUCUACUUUCUUUAAAAAACUCACCAAGCAUAGUGGACAGUACAUGGUGUGUGUGUAACUAGCAGUGACUCUUUCUUCACUUCCACAGUGGAGGUAAUAUAUGGACCAGCUUCAACAGCCACGGUAGGUUGGAGAGAAGGUGCUGUGGGCUGACCUAAAAGGUCCACAGGGAUCACAAGAGUCAUUACCCACUGUCUGCAUUGAUCUGCCCGCUGUUGCUCUCCCAUAUCACCGUGUUGAGUUAGAAUUUCAUUACCAGCUCCGUUUGCCUCCCUGUGUAUACUGUGUGCGGUAUGGGGCAUUCAAGGAUAUAUACUCUAUACAUACACUCUGCCCUAGAAGUGUUUACUACAGGUACAACUCCUAGUUCUCUCCAAUGUCUCUCAGGAGCACAAUUAAUAUCUGUCUCGCCGCAUACACAAUCUUCCAUAGCAUCGACACAAGGCAAGGCGAAGGCAAUGCCGGUGAGGGGGCACAAAUUACUGUGCAACAUGUGCGGUUACAAUUUUCUGCAAUGUACCUCAAGGGUCCUGCACUGAAACUCACCUCUCAAAAGGAUCAGCUCUGAAUGUGUGUGCUUAUAGAAAGUGUUGUUUCCUGUAUACUUGGUUUGAUAAUUUGGCAUCACUGCCCACUAAUUGUUUAUUUGCUGCUUUAUCUUGAGUUCAUAUGUCCUUCAGACAGCUCGUCAAAGCCAAUAUACUCCAUUGACAGACUACAUAAAUCGUAUAGAAAAUUAUAUUGAUUUCUUUAGGUGGGCCUCACUUUCAGGUGUGUAAGAUACACAAUGCAGGUCAUUGCUUUGCUCACCUGCUGAUACUACUGUCUGCCUAAGACACUGACUACGGAUAAGAAUCAGGAAACAUUUUUUGUCUUGGCGGUUGUUGCAUGACGGUAGACAGUGUAACAAUAGACAACAAGACAGCAGUGCACAAGUAAUAAAGUUUACCCAAUUCUUGCAUGCUUCGACCAUUUUCUCUAGACCUAGCAUCAAAAGCUACGCAAGCCUCACGCAGCCCGUGAUUGGUCUGCUAACUACAUCCUACAUCGGAGUCUCACAUUUCCGGUUUCAUAGCACAAUAUCGCCAUUAUUAAAACAAAGAUUUUUUUACGAGAGAACGGAUCAGAUUGAAGAGCUUUUGUCGGAAGAAAUCUGUAAAUAUGACCACUUCUACAACCCGUCAUUGGCGGACUAUAAGGACUCCAAUUCAUGAAGGGAGAUCUCCACAAACAACGUUUUGCCGGUUGAGAGGUGCAAAGUUGUGGAGGAAAACACGGGACAAAUGUGUCCUUGAUGAAAAGCAGCAGUGGCGAUGCACAGGGCAAUAAAGUCUAUGAUAAAUAAAUAAACAAACCAACGACUUCUACACAAAGACGUGACUCUUGUUGUCUUCAACAAAACACGUUACUCCACCGAUUGUUCUGGCGGUGAAUUACUUUGCAACACAUGCAAGCCUUUUUGAACUGGGAAUUAAUACGAGUGCGACGCCGCAACUGCACGUAAAGACGCAGAAGCAUGCGCCAGCCUUUACGCUUCUUCACGUCCGUUGAAAAUUUGCUUCCUCCGCAACCUGUGCAUUGACUUGACUUUGCAUGGAAUCUACUCACGCAAAUAAUUUGCUUCCCUUUUCAUGUAAACGCAGCAUUAACCAUUUGACCUCUCAAAGUCGUGACCCUCAAACACAGACUGGUCAAUCACAGUGCAGCUCCAACCAUCUUGGACCAGUGUAAUUACAACUCCCCGCCUCUGCUCCAUCUAUAGAUUGUCUUCAUUUUCAUGCUGGUUAUGUGGAUUUGGAGUUAGUGAUGAAUAAACUGUGUAAUACGGAUACUGACCUGGAGAUGCUGUAGGGAAUUUGUCUGCUUUGUGAUUCGUUUGUAGUUGUAUUUUCUCUGAGACAAAAAUGACCCCACUAGAUUAACCUACUGGUUCAACGUGAAGCGUGUCUUAAUUUCAAACAUAAUGCAAACUGAUGAACACCAUGCAAGAUUAGACUACAGCUCAGGCUUUGAAACAAUUGAGGUGCCAAGUAUCAGUGAGAACAAAAUAAUAAUCCAUGUGAUGAUGGAGGCCUUUUAUAACCAACAGGCACAGAGCGGCCAGAGUUGCUGAUUAAUGAAAAGCUGCAUCUUGUGCUGCGAUCAAUGUGACGCAUGGUUUUAUGCCUUGUCCGUGCGUGUCCCAAACACACGCACAUUCAUAUGGAUCUGUCAGGGUCCCAUGUGGUCAGAAGUGAAGUGGGUCGAUGGUGGCGCAUGGAGUAGAGAGGGUGCGCCGGGAACCACAAGGUUGGCAGUUUGAGCCCUGGCUGCUCCAUGUCCCAUGUCGAAGUGUCCCUGAGCAAGACUACAAUCUGCCAUGGCAUAUGCGUAUCUGGAGGGAAAAAGUGUUGUAUAACGAACAGUCCACACGGUGAUCUGCCAAAUUCCAUAUUGUGUUGACUGCAGCCAAAAUGGGAAAGGCAUAAAUAAGGUGUGACUGCACUCCUGUUCACACCUCCCAAGACCUCAAGAAUAUUUGCUACAUGGAGAAAAAUGACAAGCAACAUGCUGCGUAGAAAUCAUUUCCAAAGCCAAGGCAGGUGCAGUGAAUGCAGGAAUAAUUGCACCAUCGGAGCGUUUCUAGGUGCACCUGGCGUUGCGCCUUCAGCUUGUUGCGAUGUUGUUAUAAAGCGAAUGACUAGUGUACGGGGAAAUGUGAACAACUUGGCUAUCCGGACAGGACGGGGCAUCGCAGUUCACUGACAAUUUCCUUUCCUUCUGAAGUGUUAUACAGUAGCAGUAGGAGGUGGUGAUGGGCUGCACAGUUGUAUUAAAACUUUGUUCGACCGGUUUCUUACAAACAGAAAUCUAAUAAUUAUGGAUCAGCGUGCUGACAUUUUAUAAUGUUGGCUAAGCCAAUCAACUAUUUCGCUAAGGUAACCAUUUCUGUUGCAUGAAUCCAACUGUGACUGGCUCACAAUGUUUAAUAUUUAUUUUGCCUAAACCUAACCACAACCGUUCCACAGCAUUAACCGUUACAAUGUUAAAUCAUUGUGUCAUAAACUUAACCAAAAUUGUUACACAAUGUCAACCCCUUGUUACAACAUAGGCAGUCUCAAAAUGGUGAAAGCCCAAAACACUUAACAGUGUAAACCUUCUACGUCAUGACACUGUGGAGGGUUGGAUGUUCUGCACAAAGGGUGUAAUGUAAUUAAUGGAUCUCAAAAUGUCUUUCACUAUAAGUUACUAAAAAGGUAACCACAACACUCCAAAGUAUAACUGCUGUGUUUAGAUUAUGCUGCACAAACUGCACACACACAAUCUUCACACGGCCUCAGGUGUUCUCAACCACUGGGAAUCCAAUCAUGACAAAAACAAAACCAAGCAGUUUUAUGAAAAUCUUUUGGUGACAUUUCAAGACAUGAAUCAUUAAAGUGCAUUACAAGCACAGAGAAGACAAUGUCACCCAAUUGUCACAGUUUGGGUUCACGUCUUGUUUUAUUUUGUAGUUUCAUGCCUGUGGUGCUCCUGGGUUAACUCCACCUGCCUUGUCUGCCGUGUCCAUGAUUGUUUCCACCUGCGUCCGAUCACCUGCACCUUCCCAGUGUAUUUAAGGCAUGUGUGUCGCUUGUCCCUUGUUGAGUCAUUGAUUGUUCACUACUGAAUGUUUUCAUGCUCGUGAUUAGUGUCUUGUUCCUGGUCCCCGCCUGCGUUUUUGCCCCCUUGGCAUUUUUGAUUUGGAUUUUGACGAUUAAAGUCUUGUUUUCAAACUCUGCGUUCGGGUCCUGCCUACCCCGAUAACUGUCUGUGGAGGUCAUGGUUUGAAAAUUGUGCAAAUAAAAAAAGGAAUGAAAAAAACAAUCAGAUUGUUUUAAUGCAGCAUGAGUAAGGAAUUGGACACAAAAGAGGCUUUGAUUGUAAAAUAUUUUGCUUCUUUUUAUUUAGUCUUUCCAGCAGCAUGUACGGUUCAAGGCCAGAAUAUGAGAAAAGACUGCGUGCUAGAGGCUUUGUGUAGCUCUCCCACUCUCCUCCUUUAUCUUGCUUUCCUCUCGCCCACACUUGUACAAGCAUUCGAUUUAUUGGAAAGAUCAGCGAAAUUAAACUGCCAUUACUACCUAGCCUAACCUCAACAAUGAUGUUUAAACAAGGUACGUAACCAACAAUCUGAGGUGAAUGGCUGUCUGCUAUUUCUUUGGAGCUAAAUGUCUAAAUCUAAAAAGUGUUAUUGUUAGUGGGAAACAAAGACUAAAGAUUCUCUCUGACCAAUAAGUGAUCUGCAGUAUUAAAGUAAGAGUUUGACACAAAUAAACAUAUACAAUCUGCAUUUUGCUUAUGGAAAACAUGAAAAAAGCAGCUCUGAAGAGUCAAGUAGAGCCGCAAUUAACAAAAUGUAUGUAUGUACCAUUAAUGUAAUAAACUUCUAGUUCUUACUGAAUAGCAUACAUCUCGUUAGGGAUUUAUGGACGGUGAGCAAGUGAUGAAAUAUUGUAUAUUUAGCCACUGUUAAUGUGUACAAACAAACCCACCACCUGCAGAGAGGAAAGUGUUACCAGGGCCUCUCUGAGACACUGUGAUAUAACACCAGGUUGUGGAGGUGCGGGAUGCAGCCGGGCAAAGAGAAGUGUACCUGCUGUUCUAUUAACAAACCUCAUUUGAAUAACGUGCUAAUGAAGGUAAACAAGUUAAUUUUUAUAAAAAAGAGAGAGAGAGAAAACAUACAUGUCCAAACUUUGACAGCAUGAAAACCGCAACAUCGUUAAUGUGUAGCUCGCUGCACUUAAAGGUAAUUAUUUCACUCUAGUCACUACUCUAAAGUAAUUGACUAGAACAGAAUACUGAGUGAAUUAUGCAAAACGACGUUCAAACCUUGCAUUGUUGCAUAAGUGUUUAGUUGUUAAAGUGUGGUGUGUUUUUUUAACUAUAAGCCAGAGGUGGAAAUGCUCCAGCUGAGAGAAAAAUGCAUUUAAAAAGGACAGUUGAUACUUUCUCACUAAACAAUUUGGAGAUAUAUUCCAUUUCAUAACUCGGAUUAUCUCCUCACGGAGAGCUAAAUCAAUCUCAUUGACUACCACUGUGGAAAUAUGACUGCCUCAGCUCCUUCUGAGUGGCUCAAAACAGCCCAGAGCUCAACAGGAGGGAGCCAAACCAUGUUAACCCACUGAAGAGGCACCGUGGAUAUAAAAAAAAGAAAGCCUUUUUGACAAAACCUUCAGGCUCUUACGCAAUGUUUAUAUUGUAUCUCCUUUGUAACUGUGAAAAAGUCUAAAACUGAUGCAGCAGGGUUUCCAAUGGAACUUCUAUUCGGUUAAAAAUUUCAAAAAGUUAUCUUUUUAAUCCCAAAAAAUGUAAUUGAAACAGUGGAAUCAAAUGAAAGAAUGAUGAAUCAUAGCCGGAUAAUGAGUGCCCUUUGGCAUCCAAUACCAAAACAUCUAGGCACUAACUAAUCACCAAUCAUAGACUGUACAUAAGAAGUCAACGCAGUCGUGUGGCAUCAAUCAUUGGUCUUUGGACUGCUGUUUUUAAGCCUCUAGCUUGUCAAAGAGACAUCUUGGAAUACAGCCUUCCCUAUUAUGUCUUUUUUUCCUCAGAUUAACAAACGUUACCAUAAUUGGAAUGCGGAUGAGUGACAACCGGUAUACAACUCCGGUAGUGGCAGCGACCUGUCAACCAGAAGAUAGCCCUAUUGGCAACCAGAGGAGUUGCUUCCUGCUGUUCAGUAGAGAGAAUGUAGGUUUUUUUUAAAUUCUGCAUUCCUUUGACUUGGGUUACAUUGGUCGCGACAACUGGUGUAGUUGAAAGAGUCGCUGAAAAGAGGGUUGGAUGGAUCAAAAAUUGAACAGGCCCUGCCUCCUGUAGAAAGUUUUGUUGUGUAACUUACGUACUUUACCAGACCAGUCACACAUCAAACAAAUCAAUUUCUAUGCCAAGAGCAGAACACAUGUUGGUGUAAGAAUAGUGUGACGGUGUGUGGGUUGGCCGUGUUUAAGGGUUUUCACCUGCCACAAAAAAAUGUGAUGUUAAGACCUAAAAGCUGCUCUGAUCCAUCCUAUUACCUCAAUCCUGUGUAAAAGUUACCCAGAUGAGUCGGUCUGUGAACUGAGAAUAAUUUACCAGUUGACUUCCUUUCCCCUGAUAAUUAAGUCUUUCUAACCUGGGGGGGUUGUUUACAAGCUCUCUGAAUGUCUGACAGCUUGUGUUCUUUUCCCAAUUGCACUUUUUUUUCUUUCCACCAAGUUCCUCAAUCUCAGCUGUUGCUAAUUGGAAACUGAUGGUGCAAAAUACUAAAUGAAGCCGGACUUUCUCUUUUAAAAAGGAUGAAUUAUUGGAUGAAUUCAAUUUAUUUUGCAGGGCCACUACGGGCAGCAUGACAGCAAAGAGCGAGCUUGUAUUAUAUCCUGAGCCCCUCCCUGUCCCAGGGUCUUUGGCUGCUGUGUAAUGCAUUCAGAGAUAUCACUCUAAAAUAGUUUGGGGGGUCACUGGGAGUCAGGGUAUGAGCCUUCGCAGAUUGUCAGACUCCAGCAGACUGUGAAAUGGAAUGUUACGUAUGUGUGUGUGUGUGUUUCAGUCUUUCUCUCUCUUUGUGUUUGCACUAAAGCAGGAGUUUAUUGUAGAUACUCACACCCAACCUGCUUGGAGACAGGCUGACCGCCUGGACCUGUCAUUGUGUCAAGGAAACACUUUGGCUAGUCCUUUUCUUUACUUUGCCUUCAAUUCUGUCACGUUUCCCCACUUUACCAGAUAAGGCCAUGAAUAUGGAUAUUGGUAAUUUAGUAAAAAAAAAAAAAAAAAUACCAAUGGAUUUUGCUUGUGUGAAUGUAAUCAGAAUACACAUUCCCCCAACCCAUUGAAUACGGCCGCUUGGCCCAUGGCUCCUACAAUUAUAAAGCUCUAGGUUCACAUCUAAUGUCAGUUUUUGCUCAUGCAUACACUCUUCAAAAAUAAUAUUCAAACUACUUGUUAAGAAUGGGGUUUGUGGUGCAAAUAAUAAUAAGUAUUAUUUACUACGGAAAUUGUGUAAUAGAACUCAAGUGAAUUAGAAGAACUGAACUUUGGCUUUAUCUUCUGGGUGAUAGUCCUGUGUCCCCUCAUUCACUUUUAUUCCAAUAGUAAGAUGAGAAGAUUGAUACCACUUCAUCUAAACUUUAGAUUUUGAACUGGGAGCUGACUGGAGGCAGGGAUAAAUCAACCCUAUAAACAUUAAGUUGGUAAAAUCAUCACUCACUUUGGGUAUAUUUUACCCAAUAAUGGAAGCUAAUUACCAUCAUUUUGGGAGCAGGACCAUGCCUCGACCGUUAAAACUACUUACGAUCAGCUUAUCCACCUAGUUUGCAACCUGGAUGCCACCGUGCUUUCCACCUCCGAUGAUGGAGACAACGCCACUUUGAGAGAGGACCGAACCACCCCGUAGUAGUGAUGUGUCGUUUGUGAACAAAUCCUUACAAGGACUCGGGAGCAAACCAGUUAAAGGCACAGUACACCCAAAUCACCCAGCACAAAGGCAAAGGACAUCAGCCCACCUUACCGUCCAGCACCACUCAGCAACAGUGUCCCCAUUCCCCACAUCAACACGCUCGCAUCUUUAGGAAUCAGGAAACAUUUAUUGCCAAAAUAUGUCAAACAUACAAAGAAUUUUUCUUGGUGCUUGGUGGACAGUAGACACAAAACAGACAACAAGAUAGCAGUGCACAAGUAAUAAAAUAAAAUGCUAAUGCAAUGGGUUAGUAGAAUAAGGCUAUGGGUUAGUAUAAAAUAACAAAAUAAAGUGCACUAUCGAACAAGUGACAACAAAGUGACGAAUGAAAAAUUACAGUUAAAGUGACAUGUGCAGCGGUGGAAUAUUAUAGUCAGUCAGUGGGGGAACGGGCUCUGUUGAUGAGCACCAGGACACCAGAUGGUCAGACUCCCACCUGUAGGCGGACUCAUCCCCACCAGAGAUCAGUCCAAUGAGGGUGGUGUCAUCCGCAAUCUUCAGGAGCUUGACGGACUGGUGACUGGAGGUGCAGCUGUUGGUGUACAGGGAGAAGAGCAGAGGGGAAAGAACGCAGCCUUGGGGGGAACCGGUGCUGAUGGUCCGAGAGGCUGAGACAUGUUUCCCCAGCUUCACGUGCUGCUUCCUGUCAGACAGGAAGUCUGUGAUCCACUUGCAGGUGGAGUCGGGCACGUGCAGCUGGGAGAGUUUGUCCUGCAGCAGAGACGGGAUGAUGGUGUUGAAGGCAGAGCUGAAGUCCACAAACAGGAUCCUGGCGUAGGUUCUUAGGGAGUCCAGAUGCUGGAGGAUGUAGUGGAGGGCCAUGUUGACAGUAUCGUCCACAGACCUGUUGGCUCUGUAGGCGAACUGCAGGGGGUCCAGGAGGGGGUCGGUGAGGGACUUCAGGUGGGUCAGGACUAUCCGUUCAAAAGACUUCAUGACUACAGAGGUCAGGGCGACAGGCCUGUAGUCAUUGAGUCCUGUGAUCCUGGGCAUCUUGGGAACAGGGAUGAUGGUGGAGCCCUUGAAGCAGGCUGGUACGUGGCAUGUCUCCGGGGAGGUGUUGAAGAUGUCAGUGAACACUGGAGACAGCUGGUCAGCACAAUGCUUCAGGGUGUGAGGGGAAACUAAGUCCGGCCGGCUGCCUUACGGGGAUUUUGUCUUUUAGACCCCAUGCAGACGGACUCUAGUUUGCCUGAACCCGGGUUAAUUUUUCACACCUACCCACUUUUUAAAUUGCGUGCACAUGAACCCAGUGAAUCUGAUUGACUCCGCUGUAGUACAUCCCCCACGCCUGUUGGUGGCGCUUUAAGGUGCUACAGACAACUGAAGAAAACGGAAGGAGAAGACAGGAGCAUGCGUAUAAGGCCGUUUCUCAAUACCUAAGACGGCGAGAACGGACUCGCGUUCCCGCGAGAAUAGACUCGGGACACAGACUCGGGAGACAGACUCGGGAGUCCGGACUCACGGGUACAGGAGAACGGAGAACGGACAUUUCCGCAAUUGGAACAGCAGCUGACUUGAUGACGUCACCACAGUAGGCGGUCUUUGUUUACGCACGCAAGUAUCUCAUCUGCCAUCGCAGCUUGCUGAGGUGAAAUGCAUUCUGGGAUAUAUGUCUCUCACAAGAACAGACGAGCCUGCUUCGAUGCAUGCCCGGUAAAAUGGGCGGGGCGAGUCACAUCCGGGUAUUAUGACCGUUCUCGCCCAGAUGCGGACUUGAGAAUUGGAACAGUACUCGGGCUGUGACUGAUGACGUUUCACGAGUCCACGAGAACAAAAGUCCACACAAGAACGCAUAUUGAGAAACGGCCUGAGACAUGCGCGCCGUAUACAAACGAACACAACGAACACAAACAUAACAACUAAACACAAGAACAGAAGAAGAAAGGGAAAACCUGUUCACAAGGAGUUUGAUUUAUGAAUGCAUGUCUGUGAUUUGCAUAGGUGUAUAAGAUACUUGAUUACCUAAAUUUCCCUCUGGAUUAAUAAAGUAUCUAAGUUGAGGCCUGCACAGUGCAGCAAAUCUGGCCUUGAGGCGUUCAAAAGGAUGCAGUGACCAUGCACUGCGCUUUACACCUGUUAUUUUAGUUAAUUUGUGUGUUACGUUUUUAUACUUGAUUCUUUAAUUACCACUUCUCUGUCCUAAAGGACAGUUAUAUUGCAUUUGUACAUCCAGUAAAAAAAAGGUUCUAGCAGCUGUUGCAGUCAUGUUUAUUUUCAGUGGACACAGUUCAAGUCAGUUUUUGAAGAGUGCACAAAAUGAAAAACCAUACAAUGAAAACAGUCUUUCUUAACGGUCAAGGUACUUUGUGAGCACUCUCCUCACUCUCUUACCCUCCAUCUCAUUACAGUCAGUGAGAUAGUUGUUGAUUUAUGAAGGAGGCUACGUUAUGGGCACUAUCUAUUGUUUCCAACACCGAUUGUUCACUCACAGACUCCUCACAGAAACUGUGCAAAACAAAGCAGGCGUAAUUUGACCCAGCACGAUGGGUUGGUCCAUUUUAACCCAACAGAUGAGUUAACUAUUCUACCCAAAUGCUGGGUCAAAUUAACUACAAUUCUGGGUCGUUUCAGCUACAUAUAGUUGUUAAAUAUUCCACCCAAAUGCUGGGUCAAAUUAACUACAAUUCUGGGUUAAUUCACUAUUUGUUGUCUAUAAAACUGUUCAACUACAAACCUGUAACAAAAUACAUGCUAGAUUUGAUCAUGCAGAGCACAUGUAUGUAAUUAACACAUCAUAAAACAUCCACAAUAUAAAAUGAAUUGUAAGUUUAAAUCACUAUCAACAAAAUGGGGCUGCAACUAACAAUUAUUUCCAUUAUCGAUGAAUCUGUCAAUUAUGUAAAUGAUUAAUCAAUUAGUUGUUGUGUAUAAAAUGUCAAACAUUUUUGAAAAACAACAAGAUGACAUCCUCAAAUCUCUUGUUUUGUCCACAAGCCAAAGAGACACUCAGUUUAUUGUCAUAAAGGAUUAAGAAAUCAUGCGUGCAUGCUCGCACACAUAUCUAUAUACAUACCUACACAUGUGCAAACAGUUGCUGGACCAAAAAGAAGUGUGAGCUAUAACUCACCUGUUUACAUAACAACAAACGGUUAACAGGUGUCCAUUUUUCAUAACCAGCUGCCCUUGAGGCACAGAGACAACUAAUACGCACGCCCUGUCGACUGACCGUUUGCCCGACUACUAGCCUUUUUGGCCUGAAUAAUACAUUUCCCCAAUUACUACACCGACCCCGAAGUUGUAAACUUAGGGGAAGCACUGAUUACAUUCUACGUGCUGCUCAUAUUGCCAGGCAUCGUAACACUGUCGCUGACUCCCUUUGUUGUUUUUCAUUUCAGAAAUUUUGAAGCUUGGCCCCUCUUGCAGACAUGGCCCUCGUCGCCUCCCAGUCACCUUUUGACCUCCCGUACCAUCCUUAUCCGUUCCAGAUACAGCAACCCGCACAUUGCCCUGAUCUUGGAAGCCAUGUUCUCCCUGGCCUAUUUCGGAUUCCUCAGAUGCUCAGAAUUUACCCCUUCAACCCUCACCUUCAAUGCAGGCCACCAUGCUUGCAUAUCCGACUUAUCCAGUCUUUCGGAAGACACCGUGACCUUCUACUUAAAGCAAACGAAAAGCAACCAGGCCGACCGACACCUGUCUUUUACUUCAAGAUAGUCACCCUUGAGUCCAUUCGAAACCCUAUCCACAUAGCUGUGACAAUCCCAAAGCCCAUCACCAGCAGACCCACUCUUCAUCUCAGAGUCGAAGUUGCCACCAGAUUCUGGUUCCACAAGCACUUCUGCCACAUUCUCUCCUUGCCCAGCAUUUCCCCCAUUUUGUAUUCUGGUCACUCCUUUAGAAUCGGCGCUGCUACCACAGCCUCCCGCACUGGCAGCCCAGAACACCUCAUGCAAAUCACGGGACGCUGCUCCUCACAAGCCUACCAACGUUACAUCCGUUCGGAUCUCAAGGUUCUUCAAGCCGCUCAGUCACACCUCACGUAAUGGGAGUCUUGUGGUUCCUUCGAAGUAGCGCCCCACAAACCCAUCUGAUCGACCAGUCAAAACGUCUUUGCUAGACCCCCUGUUGAAGACCUAUGUAGGCUAUUGGGCUAACAAUGUAAUGUUAGUUGGCUAACUAGUAGCAGCGCAAUAGAGGAUAUUAACGUUAGCUAACUAACGCUCUAGUUACCGUUAGAAAACAUCCGAAAUGAAAGUUUCAAAAAUCUAAUAUUACCACAAACUGAUACCUUUUAACAUUAACAAAAUGAGGUCCAGCCAAGUUACAGGCACCAAUUAAGGUGCUGGCAGCUAACACAGAUCCUGGCACGGAGGUGUUUUUUCCCCAUCUUCCACCAUUAAUUAACAACCCUUUUAAGAACCAUCGAAUAGAUAUGGUUCUUUAGAAGGUGGCGGUUCUUUGUCGAACCACAUUGCCUUCAAAAGAACCAUUGGGUAGAGCUGGUGCGCUGGGAACCGCAAGGUUGGCCGGCUGCUCCCUGUCCCAUGUCGAGGUGUCCUCGAGCAAAAAUGUAAAUAGCUAAGUUGUUGUAAGUUGCUUUGGAUAAAAGCGUCAAGAUAAAUUACCUGUAAUAUAAUU
This is a long non-coding RNA of Gasterosteus aculeatus aculeatus (three-spined stickleback), 20537 nucleotides long. NCBI's taxonomy places the organism in Eukaryota, Metazoa, Chordata, Actinopteri, Perciformes, Gasterosteidae. The record is from Ensembl.